CAAAUUUAAAGUGAAAAGAACACAAAACACUGCAAACCACAACACAAUUAAAUAUAAAUUAUAAUAUGAAAACUAAAAGAACAUGCAUAUUCUCUGUCAUAUGAACCUUCAUGAAUAAACUUUCUCAAUCCUUUAGAAAGUACAUUAUUGUACUUUAUUGAGCCCCGUGGGGAAAUUGCUCUCUGCAUUUAACCCAUUCACUGAGUGAAGCAGUGGGCAGCCAUUGGGCGCCCGGGGAGCAGUGUGUAGGGACGGUACCUUGCUCAGGGGUACCUCAGGGUAGCUGUUAAGGGGAAUCGAACCCCCGACCUUCCGAUCAUGGGGCAACCACUCUACCUACUGAGCUAUCCCUGCCUUUAUCAUCUGCAACCGAAAAUAGUUGUGGAUGAUUACUAUACCUUUCUAAUAUUGUUGUCCCUGCCUCUCUUUCUCUCUCUCUGGCUCUGUUCCUGUGCUACUGAUGUAACUACCGCCCCUCCCCCCUCUGCCCAGCGUAAAGCACAAGGCUCGCGUGCAGAGUGAAGCGGAAAAAAAGUGCGAGAGAGAGGCUGAGAGAAAGAAAAAAAAAAAAAAAAACCCAUGUGACGGCUCGCGAUAAGGAGCCGGCUCGCGUCGUUCACGUCAAAGAGCCGGCUCUAAGAGCCAUUUCGUUCGCGAACGACCCAUCACUAAUGUAAAUAUAAUAAUAACCACUUCAGCCAAGAAGAGAGCCUGACGAGCCCAGUUGUAAGUAAGCUAUUAAGACUCGACUGUACACCGUGUUCGUGUUUUCCUCCGAAAACAAUAAGUUCCAUUGGAGCAGCCUUUCAACGCCUCUCUCUGUCUCUCGCAAGAAAAGUUGACCCACACAACAAAGUAAAGCUAUUUUUCGGCUACGAGCCAACAGGGAACCCACCGUAUUAGCCAGAGGUCCCUUUACUACAGUUCGGAGUCGCGGACCUUCAGUAAUAGUAAUAAAUCACACAGCAAUAGUACAUUCACGUUGUUGUAAAAAGCAUGAUAAUAUAUUAAGUAAUCCAAAGUAUUCAGAAUAUGUUACUGUCAUUGAGUAACGUAACGGAAUACGUUACAGAAUACAUUUUGGGGCAUGUAUUCUGUAAUGGAAUACAUUUUAAAAGUAAC
This is a long non-coding RNA of Astatotilapia calliptera (eastern happy), 1122 nucleotides long. The record is from Ensembl. NCBI's taxonomy places the organism in Eukaryota, Metazoa, Chordata, Actinopteri, Cichliformes, Cichlidae.